AGAGUUUGAUCCUGGCUCAGGACGAACGCUGGCGGCGUGCUUAACACAUGCAAGUCGAACGGUGAACCCCAGCUUGCUGGGGGGAUCAGUGGCGAACGGGUGAGUAACACGUGAGUAACCUGCCCCAGACUCUGGGAUAAGCCUUGGAAACGGGGUCUAAUACCGGAUAAGCGGCACCACCGCAUGGUGAGUGCCUGGAAAGUUUUUCGGUCUGGGAUGGACUCGCGGCCUAUCAGCUUGUUGGUGAGGUAAUGGCUCACCAAGGCGACGACGGGUAGCCGGCCUGAGAGGGCGACCGGCCACACUGGAACUGAGACACGGUCCAGACUCCUACGGGAGGCAGCAGUGGGGAAUAUUGCACAAUGGGCGCAAGCCUGAUGCAGCGACGCCGCGUGGGGGAUGAAGGCCUUCGGGUUGUAAACCCCUUUCAGCAGGGAAGAAGCGAGAGUGACGGUACCUGCAGAAGAAGCGCCGGCUAACUACGUGCCAGCAGCCGCGGUAAUACGUAGGGCGCAAGCGUUGUCCGGAAUUAUUGGGCGUAAAGAGCUCGUAGGCGGUUUGUCGCGUCUGCUGUGAAAUCCCGAGGCUCAACCUCGGGCCUGCAGUGGGUACGGGCAGACUAGAGUGUGGUAGGGGAGACUGGAAUUCCUGGUGUAGCGGUGGAAUGCGCAGAUAUCAGGAGGAACACCGAUGGCGAAGGCAGGUCUCUGGGCCACAACUGACGCUGAGGAGCGAAAGCGUGGGGAGCGAACAGGAUUAGAUACCCUGGUAGUCCACGCCGUAAACGGUGGGCACUAGAUGUGGGGCUCUUUCCAUGAGUUCCGCGUCGCAGCUAACGCAUUAAGUGCCCCGCCUGGGGAGUACGGCCGCAAGGCUAAAACUCAAAGGAAUUGACGGGGGCCCGCACAAGCGGCGGAGCAUGCGGAUUAAUUCGAUGCAACGCGAAGAACCUUACCAAGGCUUGACAUAUACCCUCUAUCCCCAGAGAUGGGGAGUGCUUCGGCGGGGUAUACAGGUGGUGCAU
Molecule: ribosomal RNA, 1024 nt
Filed under: Demequina maris
Lineage: Bacteria; Bacillati; Actinomycetota; Actinomycetes; Micrococcales; Demequinaceae
Description: bacterial SSU rRNA
Rfam family: Bacterial small subunit ribosomal RNA
Source: RNAcentral